Molecule: ribosomal RNA, 467 nt
Filed under: uncultured bacterium
Lineage: Bacteria
Description: partial 16S ribosomal RNA
Rfam family: Bacterial small subunit ribosomal RNA
Source: RNAcentral
GACGAACGCUGGCGGCGUGCUUAACACAUGCAAGUCGAACGGAAAGGCCCUGCUUUUGUGGGGUGCUCGAGUGGCGAACGGGUGAGUAACACGUGAGUAACCUGCCCUUUACUUUGGGAUAACUUCAGGAAACUGGGGCUAUACCGGAUAGGAGCUCCUGCUGAAUGGUGGGGGUUGGAAAGUUUCGGCGGUUGGGGAUGGACUCGCGGCUUAUCAGCUUGUUGGUGGGGUAGUGGCUUACCAAGGCUUUGACGGGUAGCCGGCCUGAGAGGGUGACCGGCCACAUUGGGACUGAGAUACGGCACAGACGCCUAAGGGAGGCAGCAGUGGGGAAUAUUGCACAAUGGGCGGAAGCCUGAUGCAGCAACGCCGCGUGCGGGAUGACGGCCUUCGGGUUGUAAACCGCUUUCGCCUGUGACGAAGCGUGAGUGACGGUAAUGGGUAAAGAAGCACCGGCUAACUACGUG